This is an RNA transcript of Glycine soja, 1711 nucleotides long. It is a transcript of the gene named SKP1-like protein 21, with no coding region annotated. The record is from RefSeq and is a predicted model, not a curated record. Lineage: Eukaryota; Viridiplantae; Streptophyta; Magnoliopsida; Fabales; Fabaceae. The transcript is spliced from 10 exons.
AUAAAAAAUUCAUUUUUUUUUUUCCCGAAAUCAAAAUCUCUUCGUUCUCUCUCUUCCAUUCUAUCUAUCCAUUUCUGUCCAUCGCCGACAACCGCCAAUUCCCUCCAUUUCAAAGCAAACCCCUUUCUCUUCUCAGCUGUUGCUUUGAACUUGAAAGGUGCUGAACUAUUCUCCAUUCUUCUAUUUUGCAAGUUUACAUCUGUUCUGCAAAUAAUUUCAUGGAUCAUGCAUUUGAGAAAUGUUGCUGGAGCUUCUUGAUCCUGAUUGCAGAAUUCCUUUGAUUACUGGAUGUAUUACCUGGUUGUCUGGAGUUGAAAUUUGAAUUUCCACCUCAGCAAAUAUUGCUUGCAUCACAAAGAAACUUUCAAUAUCAAUAGAUUUUACUUUUCAAAUUGGUUUAAUAUGUCAGAAAUUGACAUGGCGGUUAUUAAACCUGAGAUGAUGAAGCCUUAUAUCUGGCUUGAGACAUCAGAUGGUUCAAUCCAACAAGUGGAACAAGAAAUUGCAAUGUAUUGCCCUCUGAUUUGUCAAGAAAUAAUACAAAAAGGCAUGGGAUCUUCCAAGAGUUGUGCGAUAUGUCUUCCUCAACGAGUCAGUCCUGUGACGUUGAGCUUAAUUCUUGAUUAUUGUCGUUUUCAUCAAGUACCAGGUCGCUCAAACAAGGAACGAAAGUCUUAUGAUGAGAAAUUCAUUAGGAUGGACACAAAGCGGCUAUGUGAGUUGACAUCUGCUGCAGACAGCCUUCAGUUGAAGCCAUUGGUUGAUCUUACAAGUCGUGCACUUGCUCGGAUAAUUGAAGGAAAAUCUCCAGAGGAGAUACGUGAGAUAUUUCAUCUGCCUGAUGAUCUUACUGAGGAAGAGAAGUUGGAGCCCUUGAAAAACACAACUGAUGACCCAAGGAUCAGGCUUUUGAAUAGAUUGUAUGCCAAAAAGAGGAAAGAACUAAGAGAGCGUGAGAGGUUAAAGAAUGUUGAAGUUGAAGAAGAGCAUGUAGAUGAGCGUUCAGUUGAUGACCUUUUGUCUUUUAUUAAUGGAAAUGAUGGAGAUCCAAAGGAAGUUAAAACUUCUAAGAAUAAAAAGAAAAAUAGAAGGAAAAAAGAGCAACAACAGAAGAACUCUUCUCUGAAGGAAGCUUCUGAAGUGAACAAGGUUGAAGUAAAUGGUCAAAGUAUCAGACACCAAAGUGCUGAAGCUGAUAGAAUUGCUGAGACCUCAAAUUCACAUACAGAAGAUGUAUUUGCUCAUAGAGAAUUUGAUGAUGGAGAUAUAGAUGAUGGGAUUGAUCCUGCGCUAAAGGAAAAAAUUGACAGCAUAGUUGCAGUGGCAGAUCACUAGCUUUUCUUCUCAUUAGUGAUCAGUAGCAUUGGUGAAUAUAUUUUGUGUGGAGUAUAGCAUAUGCAGAGGACAAGGCAUCGGAAUGAUUGAAUUCUAUCCUUCUACAAAUUGUACUUUUUGAGUCAUCUAUUGCUGGUUGAAUAUGGCAUGAAGUGCUUGCGUACUUGUGUUUAUCACAGAGAGGGAGACAUGGCAAUGCUAAUUUAUUGGAUUUCACACCUUUUUGGAGAAUGAUAAAUUUAGGAAGUGGAAGAUUUUGCCCGCCGAUUGAAUUCUGACUGGCCAGAGAGGAUGCAAGAACUUUUAUCUUCAGGACAAGAAAGGAAGAUGAUGCUUUUUACUCCCAACGGAAAUAGUUUUCUGAGGCGAAAUGCUU